CCUACGGGCUGCAGCAGUGGGGAAUAUUGCACAAUGGGCGUAAGCCUGAUGCAGCCAUGCCGCGUGUAUGAAGAAGGCCUCCGGGUUGUAAAGUACUUUCAGCGGGGAGGAAGGCGAUAAGGUUAAUAACCUUGUCGAUUGACGUCACCCGCAGAAGAAGCACCGGCUAACUCCGUGCCAGCAGCCGCGGUAAUACGGAGGGUGCAAGCGUUAAUCGGAAUUACUGGGCGUAAAGCGCACGCACGCGGUCUGUCAAGUCGGAUGUGAAAUCCCCGGGCUCAACCUGGGAACUGCAUUCGAAACUGGCAGGCUGGAGUCUUGUAGAGGGGGGUAGAAUUCCAGGUGUAGCGGUGAAAUGCGUAGAGAUCUGGAGGAAUACCGGUGGCGAAGGCGGCCCCCUGGACAAAGACUGACGCUCAGGUGCGAAAGCGUGGGGAGCAAACAGGAUUAGAUACCCUUGUAGUC
Molecule: ribosomal RNA, 465 nt
Filed under: uncultured bacterium
Lineage: Bacteria
Description: bacterial SSU rRNA
Rfam family: Bacterial small subunit ribosomal RNA
Source: RNAcentral